GAUGAACGCUGGCGGCGUGCCUAAUACAUGCAGGUCGAGCGAACGGACGAGAAGCUUGCUUUUCUGAUGUUAGCGGCGGACGGGUGAGUAACACGUGGAUAACCUACCUAUAAGACUGGGAUAACUUCGGGAAACCGGAGCUAAUACCGGAUAAUAUUUUGAACCGCAUGGUUCAAAAGUGAAAGACGGUCUUGCUGUCACUUAUAGAUGGAUCCGCGCUGCAUUAGCUAGUUGGUAAGGUAACGGCUUACCAAGGCAACGAUGCAUAGCCGACCUGAGAGGGUGAUCGGCCACACUGGAACUGAGACACGGUCCAGACUCCUACGGGAGGCAGCAGUAGGGAAUCUUCCGCAAUGGGCGAAAGCCUGACGGAGCAACGCCGCGUGAGUGAUGAAGGUCUUCGGAUCGUAAAACUCUGUUAUUAGGGAAGAACAUAUGUGUAAGUAACUGUGCACAUCUUGACGGUACCUAACCAGAAAGCCACGGCUAACUACGUG
RNAcentral lists this ribosomal RNA (497 nucleotides) under uncultured bacterium. Its description in RNAcentral is "partial 16S ribosomal RNA". It matches the Rfam family "Bacterial small subunit ribosomal RNA", at positions 28 to 507 of the family's 1533-position model. The record is from RNAcentral.